GAGGCGAACCGGGGGAACUGAAACAUCUAAGUACCCCGAGGAAAAGAAAUCAACCGAGAUUCCGAAAGUAGCGGCGAGCGAAAUUGGACUAGCCCUUAAGCUUUACACGCGUUAGACGAACGGUCUGGAAAGUCCGACGAUACAGGGUGAUAGUCCCGUAGUUGACGACGUGUGUUCAGUGAAAUCGAGUAGGGCGGGACACGUGAUAUCCUGUCUGAAUAUGGGGGGACCAUCCUCCAAGGCUAAAUACUACUGACUGACCGAUAGUGAACCAGUACCGUGAGGGAAAGGCGAAAAGAACCCCUGUGAGGGGAGUGAAAUAGAACCUGAAACCGUGUACGUACAAGCAGUAGGAGCAGGCUUGUCCUGUGACUGCGUACCUUUUGUAUAAUGGGUCAGCGACUUAUAUUCAGUGGCAAGGUUAACCAUCUAGGGGAGCCGUAGGGAAACCGAGUCUUAACUGGGCGUUCAGUCUCUGGAUAUAGACCCGAAACCAGGUGAUCUAGCCAUGGGCAGGUUGAAGGUUGAGUAACAUCAACUGGAGGACCGAACCGACUAAUGUUGAAAAAUUAGCGGAUGACUUGUGGCUAGGGGUGAAAGGCCAAUCAAA
RNAcentral lists this ribosomal RNA (610 nucleotides) under Vibrio parahaemolyticus. RNAcentral's name for it is "partial 23S ribosomal RNA". It matches the Rfam family "Bacterial large subunit ribosomal RNA", at positions 176 to 837 of the family's 2925-position model. Lineage: Bacteria; Pseudomonadati; Pseudomonadota; Gammaproteobacteria; Vibrionales; Vibrionaceae. The record is from RNAcentral.